This 227-nucleotide ribosomal RNA is filed under the name uncultured bacterium. RNAcentral's name for it is "partial 16S ribosomal RNA". It matches the Rfam family "Bacterial small subunit ribosomal RNA", at positions 524 to 750 of the family's 1533-position model. The record is from RNAcentral.
UACAGAGGAUGCAGGCGUUAUCCGGAAUGAUUGGGCGUAAAGCGUCUGUAGGUGGCUUUUUAAGUCCGCCGUCAAAUCCCAGGGCUCAACCCUGGACAGGCGGUGGAAACUACCAAGCUGGAGUAAGGUAGGGGCAGAGGGAAUUUCCGGUGGAGCGGUGAAAUGCGUAGAGAUCGGGAAGAACACCGACGGCGAAGGCACUCUGCUGGGACGACACUGACGCUGAG